Lolium perenne is the source of this 722-nucleotide non-coding RNA. The record is from RefSeq and is a predicted model, not a curated record. Lineage: Eukaryota; Viridiplantae; Streptophyta; Magnoliopsida; Poales; Poaceae.
CAAUGGUAUGAAGAUGGGAAGCUAUUGAAGAAGAUCCAACACUUUCACUGACUUCGUUGCCUGUGCUGAGCAUGAAAGAAACAUUUUGUACCAGCGGGAGAAGUGCAGAUGGCAUGUUGAUGCGUGUUGUCCUAAAUAUGAGGCCCGACUUAUUCAAGCCAACUAUUGCUGGGGUGCCUUUAGUUGAUGUUCGCACAACUAUGCUUGAUCCAACUCUCCCGUUGACUGCAGCUGAAUGGGAGGCUAGGAUUAACUUGGGAGGGUCUUAAGAGCAGGAAAUGAUUGCCUUUCUAACAAGGUUUCUCUAAAAGGAUAUUCACCAGAAAAGUGGACCAUAGAUGAGAGUGCUGAACCAUAGAUGGAGAUAGUGCUGAAUUAAAAGCCUACGGGCUUGUUGGACAAUCGUCAUCGGCCAGGGUGGAGGCUUGUGGAUUUACUGGUUUACUGAACUAAAGCUUUUUUUUGCAUACACUUAUGUACUGAUCUCCAUUGCAAGAGUUGCCUGAUGUGUUCACCUCUAAAAAUGCAGUGCUGCCUACCAAGGGAAGAUUGUGUGUGCCUGAAAAUUGCUCCCUGCAAUUUGUGGGGCGGAAUAAAUUUUUGGUUGUACAUGCAUCCAAAUGUCUGUCCUAAGAUUUAUGUUGUACACUUGUAAUCUCCGCCACGCCCGUUGCCAGCGCCCAGCAAGGUACCUUCCCAAAUUCUGAUCUGGUGGCAAUAUU